AGGAAAUGAAAAGCUUGCCAAAUUUAUGUUAAGUUUCAAAACAAACUAGAAAAUUAACUUGUUUCAGAAUCUGCUAUAUGAUGCACUAAAGGUUACUUCAGAGCUUGAACUAUUUGCAACUCAAGUCAAUUUCAAAUGCGACGCGUGACAAUUGCAAAAUCUGAAACCGAGUCUGAAAUUACUUCGAAAAACAUAAUAGAGAUCGAUGUGAGGCGACAAAGCAAAGGCUGCAUAGUCAAGUGCAAAGUGCGUGAAGACCUAAUUAGGCCUGGAUUUGAAUGCUUUAGGCCAAACGCUUAUGCAAAUACCAAAUGACAGCUGCGAAAUGAGGCGCAGCCACAGGAAGAACGCAAUGUCACACGUUUGAGUCAACACAAACACGCACUUAAUGCCCCAUGAGCAUCGCCAUAGAAAAACACACAAAGCUCAAGCAAAAGCAACCUAUUUCCAUAGAAUACACAAUACACAAUACUUUCUCACAGGCUGUAUCAGACCAAGCCAAUCGUGUGGUUCUACGGUCCCAGCCCCUGGCUGAUCAUAACAACUGAAAUCCAUUAAAGCCCAAUCAAAGUGAAGAUCUGUAAGCAUAUGAAAAAAUCACCGUAGAACAUGAAGAAAAAUGCGUUGAAACACCUUAAAUGAUUACUCAAAAUAAGUGGAGAAAUUCGGUGUU
Molecule: long non-coding RNA, 673 nt
Organism: Drosophila mojavensis
Lineage: Eukaryota; Metazoa; Arthropoda; Insecta; Diptera; Drosophilidae
Exons: 3
Source: RefSeq, a predicted model, not a curated record